Long non-coding RNA from Myotis lucifugus (little brown bat), 573 nucleotides. RefSeq lists it as uncharacterized. Lineage: Eukaryota; Metazoa; Chordata; Mammalia; Chiroptera; Vespertilionidae. The record is from RefSeq and is a predicted model, not a curated record. The transcript is spliced from 2 exons.
CCUGGACGGUGGGCAGCUUUCGGAGGGGGGUUGGUGCCUUCUGGUUGGAGCCCGGCCGGCAUGCAUUUCCGGUGCCUUGAAAUGCGGCGUUUGCCAGUGAUUUUCGUUUGUAAUCAGUCCUGCCGACCGGACUCAAUGAGCGUGUUGAUGGCGAAGAGAGGAAGGGAGAGCGAUAGAAACAUCAACGAUGAGAGAGAAUCGCUGACCGGCCCCCCCCUGGGGAUGGAGCCCACACCCAGCAGGUGCCCUGACCGGGGACCGAACCGUGACCUACGGGUCAUAGGUCGGCGCUCGGCCACUGAGCCCCGGGCGGCACCUGUGUUCUCACUGCGUGUUGGUGCCGUGAGGACCUGCAGCAGCUCAGCCGGCCGGGCCCCUAGAUGCAUCCCGGGGCCGGUGCUGAGUGACCAGGGCAUCUGAGGGUGGCUCCUGGCCGCUUCCUUGAUGAGGUGCAUGAACCUGCUUGACGGGUGCGGAGGAGAGCUCCUGGCGGAGUGGGAGCUGCCUGUACCAGAGCAGGGUUACCUGGCGGGGAAGGGGGCUGGUUUUAAAUAAAAGGGAAUUCUCAGCCGA